AUCACUUGAGGAGCUUGUUAAAAUGCAAAUUCUGAUUCAGUAAGGUUGAGGUAGGGCCCAAGGUUCUGCAUUUCUAGCACAUUCUCAGGUGAUAAUAA
This 98-nucleotide microRNA precursor is filed under the name Mustela putorius furo (domestic ferret). RNAcentral's name for it is "mir-544 microRNA precursor family". It matches the Rfam family "mir-544 microRNA precursor family". The record is from Rfam by way of RNAcentral. Lineage: Eukaryota; Metazoa; Chordata; Mammalia; Carnivora; Mustelidae. RNAcentral also lists the same sequence under 2 other names.